This 253-nucleotide ribosomal RNA is filed under the name uncultured bacterium. RNAcentral describes it as "partial 16S ribosomal RNA". It matches the Rfam family "Bacterial small subunit ribosomal RNA", at positions 524 to 776 of the family's 1533-position model. The record is from RNAcentral.
UACGUAGGGUGCAGGCGUUAAUCGGAAUUACUGGGCGUAAAGCGUGCGCAGGCGGUUUGCUAAGACAGGUGUGAAAUCCCCGGGCUUAACCUGGGAACUGCGCUUGUUACUGGCAGGCUUGAGUGUGGCAGAGGGGGGUGGAAUUCCACGUGUAGCAGUGAAAUGCGUAGAGAUGUGGAGGAACACCGAUGGCGAAGGCAGCCCCCUGGACCGUCUCUGACGCUGAGGUGCGAAAGCUAGGGUAGCAAACGGG